GUCAGUAUGCAGGUGGCUAAUUUGUCUCCAGUGGUUUGUGAGAAAAGUAACUCUCAACUGUUAAAUUUAUCGGAUGAAAAGUAAAUUAUACAGUGUUCUCAUUCUGGGGUUCGGGUUCGGGACAGAACAAGUUUUUCCUGAAUGAUGUCAACAUUCAUCCAAUGGCAUGAGUUUGGGGUGUGACUAAAGGACUAAACAGGCAUUAGAAAUCAGUUUCUGGGGAUGUUUUUGGAGACCCCUGGCAGUUUGAGGCACCCUGGAUGAAAGAGCAGAGACAUGGAAAAAUGUUCAACAUCAGCCACAUUUUUAACCAAGCCAAGAAAAAGUAAUUAUCUAUUAUAUCAAUUAUACACUGACAGAAAUACUCUCUAAUACUCUCAGAAAUAGAUCUCUAGAGAAAUUUAAAAUAAACCCUCUAGCCCUUUUUAAAACAACAUGAUGAAUGCUUGAAAAAUGCUUGCUUUUCAAGGAUAUGCAUGUUAUGUCACGCUUGUAUUAUUGUAUUACAGAAUGCUUGAUGCACUUAUUCAUGCAUAUGACAGUUGCAUAUUCAUGCAUAUAAAUACACAUGCACACUAGUCAUGUAUCGCUCUUCUUUAAUUUACCUUACUGCAAAAAGGCAGUUUGUUUAAAACAUAUGCAUAUGAAAAUGAGCAUACGGGAAAAUACACAAGCUUUAAGCUCCAACAAGCUCAGAC
Non-coding RNA from Paramisgurnus dabryanus, 698 nucleotides. NCBI's taxonomy places the organism in Eukaryota, Metazoa, Chordata, Actinopteri, Cypriniformes, Cobitidae. The record is from RefSeq and is a predicted model, not a curated record.